This 440-nucleotide ribosomal RNA is filed under the name uncultured bacterium. RNAcentral's name for it is "partial 16S ribosomal RNA". It matches the Rfam family "Bacterial small subunit ribosomal RNA", at positions 338 to 795 of the family's 1533-position model. The record is from RNAcentral.
CCUACGGGAGGCAGCAGUGGGGAAUAUUGCACAAUGGGGGGAACCCUGAUGCAGCGACGCCGCGUGGGUGAAGAAGCGUUUCGGCGUGUAAAGCCCUUUUGGCAGGGAAGAAGAUGACGGUACCUGACCAAGAAGCACCGGCUAACUACGUGCCAGCAGCCGCUGUAAUACGUAGGGGGCAAGCGGUACCCGGAUUUACUGGGGGUAAAGGGGGCGUUGAUGGCAAUGCAAGCUAGGUGUGAAAGCCCGGGGCCUAACCCCGGGACUGCCGUUGAAACUGCAUGGCUGGAGUGCGGGAGGGGAAGGCGGAAUUCCGGGUGUAGCGGUGAAAUGCGUAGAUAUUAGGAGGAACACCGAUGGCGAAGGCGGCCUGCUGGCGUGUGACUGACGUUGAGGCCCGAAGGCGUGGGGAGCAAACAGGAUUAGAUACCCCGGUAGUC